AGCAGCCGCGGUAAUUCCAGCUCCAAUAGCGUAUAUUAAAGUUGUUGCAGUUAAAAAGCUCGUAGUUGAAUUUCGGGAUUAGUGCGUCGGUCGUGCCUUCGGUACGUACUGGUGUUACUGAUUCCUACCUUCUGACGAACCAUCAUGUCACUAAUUUGGUGUGGCGGGGAAUCAGGACUGUUACUUUGAAAAAAUUAGAGUGUUUAAAGCAGGCUCGCGCUUGAAUACAUUAGCAUGGAAUAAUGAAAUAGGACGUUGACCCUAUUUUGUUGGUUUCUAGGAUUGACGUAAUGAUUAAUAGGGAUAGUUGGGGGCAUUAGUAUUCAAUUGUCAGAGGUGAAAUUCUUGGAUUUAUUGAAGACUAACUACUGCGAAAGCAUUUGCCAAGGAUGUUUUCAUUAAUCAAGAACGAAAGUUAGGGGAUCGAAGACGAUCAGAUACCGUCGUAGUCUUAACCAUAAACUAUGCCGACUAGGGAUCGGAUGAUGUUAUUUUUAAUGACUCA
Molecule: ribosomal RNA, 505 nt
Filed under: uncultured fungus
Lineage: Eukaryota; Fungi
Description: SSU rRNA
Rfam family: Eukaryotic small subunit ribosomal RNA
Source: RNAcentral